UUUGGAGGGCAAGUCUGGUGCCAGCAGCCGCGGUAAUUCCAGCUCCAAUAGCGUAUAUUAAAGUUGUUGCAGUUAAAAAGCUCGUAGUUGAAUUUCGGGAUCAAUAUUUCGGUCAUGCCGUUGGUAUGCACUGUUAUCAUUGAUUUCUCACCUUCUAAAGAACCGUAAUGCCAUUAAUUUGGUGUUACGGGGAAUUAGGACUGUUACCUUGAAAAAAUUAGAGUGUUUAAAGCAGGCAA
Molecule: ribosomal RNA, 239 nt
Filed under: Funneliformis mosseae
Lineage: Eukaryota; Fungi; Glomeromycota; Glomeromycetes; Glomerales; Glomeraceae
Description: partial small subunit ribosomal RNA
Rfam family: Eukaryotic small subunit ribosomal RNA
Source: RNAcentral